AACGAACGCUGGCGGCAUGCCUAACACAUGCAAGUCGAACGAGAUCUUCGGGUCUAGUGGCGCACGGGUGCGUAACGCGUGGGAAUCUGCCCUUUGGUUCGGAAUAACAGUUGGAAACGACUGCUAAUACCGGAUGAUGACGAAAGUCCAAAGAUUUAUCGCCAGAGGAUGAGCCCGCGUAGGAUUAGCUAGUUGGUGUGGUAAAGGCGCACCAAUGCGACGACCCUUAGCUGGUCUUAGAGGAUGAUCAGCCACACUGGGACUGGGACACGGCCCAGACUCCUACGGUAGGCAGCAGUGGGUAAUAUUGGACAAUGGGCGAAGGCCUGAUCCAGCAAUGCCGCGUGAGUGAUGAAGGCCUUGGGGUUGAAAAGCUCUUUUACCCGGGAUGAUAAUGACAGUACCGGGAGAAUAAGCUCCGGCUAACUCCGUGCCAGCCGCCGCAGUAA
This 449-nucleotide ribosomal RNA is filed under the name uncultured bacterium. Its description in RNAcentral is "partial 16S ribosomal RNA". It matches the Rfam family "Bacterial small subunit ribosomal RNA", at positions 29 to 523 of the family's 1533-position model. The record is from RNAcentral.